UGGCUCAGUUGGUAGAGCAAGGUGUUUGCAACGCCAGCAUGGUGUGUGCAACGCCAGGGUUGUGGGUUCGAUUCCCAC
This 78-nucleotide transfer RNA is filed under the name Salmo trutta (river trout). It matches the Rfam family "tRNA", at positions 8 to 63 of the family's 71-position model. Rfam says of the family: Transfer RNA (tRNA) molecules are approximately 80 nucleotides in length. Their secondary structure includes four short double-helical elements and three loops (D, anti-codon, and T loops). The record is from Rfam by way of RNAcentral. Lineage: Eukaryota; Metazoa; Chordata; Actinopteri; Salmoniformes; Salmonidae.